CGCAGUCGCCUCUGUGGCGCAAUGGUAGCGCGUACGACUCGUGAGUGUCUCUAGAAGACCGAAUGUGUGAACCGUUACUAACCCAACCUAGCUAUACGAGAAAUCGUUGGUAAUCGUAAGGUUCGGAGUUCGAGUCUCCGUUGAGGUAU
Molecule: non-coding RNA, 149 nt
Organism: Penicillium egyptiacum
Lineage: Eukaryota; Fungi; Ascomycota; Eurotiomycetes; Eurotiales; Aspergillaceae
Source: the annotation of a GenBank genome assembly